GAUCCUGGCUCAGGAUGAACGCUGGCGGCGUGCCUAACACAUGCAAGUCGAACGGAGAUUAUAAACGGAAGUUUUCGGAUGGAAGUUUGUAAUUCUUAGUGGCGGACGGGUGAGUAACGCGUGGGCAACCUGCCCUAUACAGGGGGAUAGCAGCUGGAAACGGCUGGUAAGACCGCAUAAGUCGGUUAAAUCGCAUGAUUUGAUCGGGAAAUGAGCAAUCAGGUAUAGGAUGGGCCCGCGUCCGAUUAG
RNAcentral lists this ribosomal RNA (249 nucleotides) under uncultured bacterium. Its description in RNAcentral is "partial 16S ribosomal RNA". It matches the Rfam family "Bacterial small subunit ribosomal RNA", at positions 15 to 244 of the family's 1533-position model. The record is from RNAcentral.